Molecule: transfer RNA, 71 nt
Filed under: Holothuria fuscogilva
Lineage: Eukaryota; Metazoa; Echinodermata; Holothuroidea; Aspidochirotida; Holothuriidae
Description: tRNA-Phe
Rfam family: tRNA
About the family: Transfer RNA (tRNA) molecules are approximately 80 nucleotides in length. Their secondary structure includes four short double-helical elements and three loops (D, anti-codon, and T loops).
Source: RNAcentral
GCUAGAGUAGCUUAAUGAAAAAGCUUGGCGUUGAAAAUGCCAGAUCAAAGGUUAGACUCCUUUCUCUAACA